UGUGUAGGCGGUGCUCUAAGUUCGGUGUGAAAUCUCCCGGCUUAACUGGGAGGGUGCGCUGGAAACUGGAGUGCUCGAGCGUGGGAGAGGAAAGCGGAAUUCCUGGUGUAGCGGUGAAAUGCGUAGAUAUCAGGAGGAACACCUGCGGUGUAGACGGCUUUCUGGACCAUUGCUGACGCUGAGACACGAAAGCGUGGGUAGCAAACA
This 207-nucleotide ribosomal RNA is filed under the name uncultured bacterium. RNAcentral's name for it is "partial 16S ribosomal RNA". It matches the Rfam family "Bacterial small subunit ribosomal RNA", at positions 568 to 774 of the family's 1533-position model. The record is from RNAcentral.